This 545-nucleotide ribosomal RNA is filed under the name Picipes sp. ZJL-20167. RNAcentral's name for it is "partial small subunit ribosomal RNA". It matches the Rfam family "Bacterial small subunit ribosomal RNA", at positions 365 to 950 of the family's 1533-position model. The record is from RNAcentral. Lineage: Eukaryota; Fungi; Basidiomycota; Agaricomycetes; Polyporales; Polyporaceae.
UAGUCAAUGCUCGCAAGAGUGAACUAGCUAACUGAAAUCAUAGAAUUUCUUCAAAUUCGUGAUGUCGUAAGGGAAAAUAAUGAUAAUACCUUACUAUGAGUGUCGUCCAAAUCUGGUGCCAGAAGACUCGGUAAGACCAGAGACGCAAACGUUAAUCAUCAUAAUCAGGCGUAAAGGGUUUGUAGGCAGCUUAAAAAAAUUAAAAAAAUUAAAAUAAAAAUAAUAAAAAUUUAAGCUAGAAUCUAACAGAGGUUAUAGUGUAUAACGCCUAGAGGAGGGCUAAUAUCCAUAGAUCCUAGGCAGAAUACUAAAGGCGAAGGCCACUCUCCACUAAAGAUUGACGCUGAGAAACGAAGGUUAGGAUAGGAAAAAGGAUUAGAUACCCUGUUACCCCUUUCUGUAAACGAUGAAUGGUAGUUUUUAGUAAAAAAAAUUAGAGACGAAGUUAACACAAUAACCAUUCCGCCUUGUGAGUACUACUGCAAAGUAGAAAACAAAAAAAUUAGUCGGUCUCGAAGCAAACGGAGUGAAGCAUGUUAUUUAAU